GUAACCUUCACCUAACACAGAAGGGUAAAGGAACUGUCCAUAAAAAAACCAGAGAAGAGCUUGUAAAACUCCCUGGAUCCUGUCUGGAGACAUAGCU
This 97-nucleotide small nucleolar RNA is filed under the name Castor canadensis (American beaver). RNAcentral's name for it is "Small nucleolar RNA SNORA26 (ENSCCNG00000029014.1)". It matches the Rfam family "Small nucleolar RNA SNORA26", at positions 23 to 122 of the family's 122-position model. From Rfam's summary of the family: The snoRNA HBI-6 belong to the H/ACA family of snoRNAs, guiding the pseudouridylation of position U4522 if the 28S rRNA. HBI-6 is the human orthologue of mouse MBI-6 snoRNA. Lineage: Eukaryota; Metazoa; Chordata; Mammalia; Rodentia; Castoridae. The record is from RNAcentral.